AACUCAUUAAUUACAUAGUAUGUAAUUCGCGCCGAGUUCGAUAAUCAAAAACCAACGCGAUUUCGUUCUCGAUUCCCGGACGAUAUAUCAACGUUGUUAUUAUGAUUUGUGCUCGUCGCCGGGUUUAUCCUGCCUCUUUUUCUCAUCCGGCCGAUGAUUAAUUUUGAUGUCUGGAUGGCUUCUCCUGUUGUACGCGGACGAUUUCGGUUGCGGAACGAGUCAAUUUUCCAUUGCAUAUUUUUAGCAAGCUUUGGUUUAAGGACGCAUUUAACUCGAAUGGGUUUCAUUCGUUUGUUCUGGAAGGGAAUUAUUCCGUAAGGAAAUAGAUUGAAUUAUGUGUAAGAUCGUGCUAUCGGUCUUCGAAUCCAUGCUCUCCAGGAAGCAGAGUGAACCUGUAAUUUUGACUCGUUCCGCAAAAAUUUCAUUUUGUUUGUCCCAUUUGGACGGGGAAUACUUUGGAUUGCAGUAAAGAAGAGGCUAAUGAAUUUUCGAAGUUCUGCCAUAGUGCAAGGUUACCUCUGGAUGUUGCUGUGGAGGGGAUGUCGAGCAAAUUAUCAUUUGUUUUGUGCGUAGUUUUGUAGAAUCGUAUUCAGAAGAUAGUUCGACGGAAACGCUGUGAUCUCGUGUUCCAUAUCGAAACUCUCGAUCGCCGUAAAUAAUUCAAGCCGUGGUAACGGCGGGCAGGUCGUCUUUAAGCGUCGCCCAUGAAACCGAGAGUGAAGAGUCAAAACACGAGGCGGGAACGCGAGAAAUCAUGUCACCACGGAAGUGGUCGGGCCAGGAGGGAGAGCUCGAUAGUUAUAUUCCGAUUCAGCGAGGUCUCGAAAGUGGACCGUUGUGCGGGUUAUGGUUUUCUCUUGGUCUCCGACCAGGCUACACAGGAGGGUUGGCAUCCCUUGCAACGACUACGGCGACACCGGGAUCGACCAGGCUUCCUCUCUUUUCAAGGAGAAAGAGGAGGGUUGCUCGGCCGGGCUCCUUUGAUUUCACCUUGCAACGCAUGUUGCCUGACAUUGAUUUUCCUUUCCCUCUUACUCGUCAUUCCACCACUUUCCUUUUCUGCUGCUCCUCGCUCAUCGCAACUUCCACGGAAUAUUAAUGUUGAUCCUGUGUUAACACGUACCUCAUUGAAUGAAAACGAAAAAUUUUCGUAGAGCUUUUGGAAUGAAAAAAAAAAAAAAAAGAAAUGAUAAAACUUCUAUUUAAUUAAAAAGAUAGUGAUUAACGAUGGAUAAUAACGAUUUCUCUACAAAUUUCCUGUCAACGAUUCAAUGGUCGUAAGUUUAGAAUCUGCCUUUUGGAUAGAUACUCGUGUUUUUAAACGUGUUUUUUUAAACAGUAAAUUGAAAAAGUAUAUUUAUUCGCUGAAUUCCGGUAAACACAUUCGUUAACGAAUAUUCGCCAAUUUUUACGAAUAUUCAUGUACCAAUAUUCGUUAAGUAUGGUCUCUGUACAUUCAUUGCCCGACAUCGAUAUUCAUUAUUCAUAUUCUCUAUAGAAAAAAUUAAAUAUCCAUUUACAAAUGUUACGCGAGACACGGUUGGUAAUUGUUUGAAGUGGUUAAAAAGCUAUCUCUGCUGCAUUAUGUAAUAUUUUUCACAUAGUUCUUUAGACAUUCGUUUAUUCGUCGAUCUCGAUACAAUAUUCGUAAGUUGGCGUAAAUAAUGUUCGAAUAAUAGAAAAAGCUUUAAUCGUGCACCACCGGUGGCAUACCCGAUCGAAAAUAUAUUAACUUCACUCUCACUAUUUUCGUUUAUAAUAAAUUUUUCCUUAUCGUGAUUGAAAUGACUCUGUUCCCUUUUUCGUCCCUUCGUAUCCGUUCCUUUUGUACCGUUCCCUCCGUUUAGUUGCGACCGAUCAGCCACAGGCUGCCGCCCAGUCGACGACGACCAA
Bombus pyrosoma is the source of this 1893-nucleotide long non-coding RNA. RefSeq lists it as uncharacterized. NCBI's taxonomy places the organism in Eukaryota, Metazoa, Arthropoda, Insecta, Hymenoptera, Apidae. The transcript is spliced from 4 exons. The record is from RefSeq and is a predicted model, not a curated record.